CCUACGGGUGGCAGCAGUAGGGAAUCUUUCACAAUGGGCGAAAGCCUGAUGGAGCAACGCCGCGUGAGGGAUGAAGGCCUUCGGGUUGUUAACUGCUUUUAUAAGCGAAGCAUAUGCUGGUAACUUAUGAAUACGGAUCGUCGCCCUACGUGAACGCAGCUGCGGUUCUACGUAGGUACCGAGCGUGAUCCGGAGUGUCUGGGGGUGAAGAGUUGCGUAGGUGGCAUAAUAGGUAGCGAGUGAAAACCAGAGGCUGAACGUCGGAAUUGCCUCUGAUACUGUUCGCCUAGAGAGCAGUUGCGGUAUGCGGAAUGCAUGGUGUAGCGGUGAAAUGCUUAGAGAUCAGACAGAACACCGAUUGCGAAGGCAGCUUACCAAGCUACUACUGACGUUGAGGCACGAAAGCGUGGGUAGCGAACAGGAUUAGAUACCCGGGUAGUC
RNAcentral lists this ribosomal RNA (441 nucleotides) under uncultured bacterium. Its description in RNAcentral is "partial 16S ribosomal RNA". It matches the Rfam family "Bacterial small subunit ribosomal RNA", at positions 338 to 795 of the family's 1533-position model. The record is from RNAcentral.